Esox lucius (northern pike) is the source of this 2211-nucleotide long non-coding RNA. The record is from Ensembl. NCBI's taxonomy places the organism in Eukaryota, Metazoa, Chordata, Actinopteri, Esociformes, Esocidae.
GUUCGUAGUGUGUCAUGUUUUGGUGAGAUCUGAGCAUUUCUAAUGAACACCUUACGGUGAGCUCAAGUUUGCAAUAUUUAAUAGCCCUCCACUCUGAAGACUACAGUCAUGAUAAGGAGCCCUCCAUUGAUGCGUUUCCUGUUUUUAUCAGGAAUGUGUUGUCUCACUGCAAAAACAUCUACAGAAACAUCUAUUGCUGCACCUAUCCAAAACACUACAGCAAACCCUGGACCAACUACAUUCAGAACCACAGAGCAAGUUACAAUUGGACCGUUAACUACUGAAUACCCAACAUCUGAUCAACCAUCUACUGCAUCAAAUGCAGUCAUACAUGGAGAAAAUAUAAACUUAACAUCUGCACCAGCUACAUCUACAGAGCAAAGUUCAGCCGGAGAUUUCUCUACCAGACUCAUAAUAUCCGACCUGUCCACUUCUCCACCUGUUCAAAAAACAACUACACUCAAUAACACAGCAGAUGUUUCUACUGGACAGCUGACCUCUGACCAAGCUACUACAAGAACUAUUCCAAACACCCAGACAACAUCUGUACCAACUACAUCUAUCAUUAAUACCACAGAACACGUUGCAACUGAACAGUUAAAAACUGAAGUCUCAACAGCUAACCAAGCAACUCCUGUAACUAUUCAAAGCACCCCCUCAACAGCUGUACUAGCUACAUCAACAAUUACUACCACAGAGCAAAUUUCAACAGGACAUUUAACUAUUGGAAUCUCAGCUACUAACCAAGCAACUUCUGUACCUGUUCAAAACACCACCUCAACUCCUGUACAAACUACAUUCAAUGCCGCUGAGAGUGUUUCUACUGGACAGCUGAGCUCUGACCAAAAACCUACUACAAUUGUUCAAAACCCCUUCUCAACAUCUGUACAAACUACAUUAUCCAUUAAUAACACAGAACCUGUUACAACUGAACAGUUAACUACUGGAAUCUCAACCACUAACCAAGCAACUUCUGUACUUGUUCAAAACACCACCACAACUCCUGUACAAACUACAUUCAAAGCAACAGAGUAUGUUUCUAGUGGAAAGUUGAGCUCUAACCAAACUAUUACUACAAUUGUUCAAAACACCCCAACAAGUUCAAUAGCCAUUCAAGGAAGUACUGAAUAUUUUCAAAACACCACUUCAACUCCUGUACAAACUACAUUCAAUAACCCUGAGCAAGUUUCAACUGGACAGCUGACCUCUAACCAAGUGGCUACUAUAUUUGUUCAAAACACCUUCACAUCUGUACCAACGAAAUCUACCAUUAAUACCACAGAACAUGUUUCAACAGAACAGUUAUCUACUGGAAUCUCAACUACAAACCAAGCAACUUCUGUACCUGUUCAAAACACCACCUCAACUCCUGUACAAACUACAUUUAAGGUUACUGCGUUUGUUUCUACUAUACAGCUGAGCUCUGACCAAGCAACUGCUGGAACUGUUGAAAACGCCCCCUCAUCUCCUGUACAAUCUACAUUCAAUUCCACUGAGAUUUUUACUACUGGACAGAUAACAUCUCUCCAAGCUACUGCAAGAACUGUUCAAAACACACCGACAACAUCUGUACCAACUACAUCUAUCAGUAACACCAUAGAGCAUGUUUUAACAGAACUGUUAACUACUGAAAACCCAACAGCCAGUCAAGGAAGUACAGUACCUGUUCAAAACACACCUUCUACUCCCUUACUAACUAUAUUCAAUAAUACUGAGCCUGGUUCUACUGGACAGCUGACUUCUGAUCAAGCAGCUACUACAGUUGUUCAAGACACCUUUUCAGCAUCAGUACCAAGAACUGUCAAUACCACUGAGCUUGUUACUACUGGACAGAUAACAUCUUUCCAAGCUACUACAAGAACUGUUCAAAACAACCCAAACACAUCUGUACCAACUACAUCAAUACUUAAAACCACAGAACAUGUUUCAACAGAACAGUUAACUAUUGGAAUCUCAACUAAUAACCAAGCAACUGCUGUACCUGUUCAAAACACCACCUCAACUCCUGUACAAACUGGAUUCAAUGCAACUGAGAGUGUUUCUACUGGACAGCUGAGCUCUGACCAACUAGCCACUACAAUUGUUCAAAACCCCUUCUCAACAUCUGUACCAUCUAUAUCAACACUUAAUACCAAAGAACAUGUUUCAACAGAACAGUUAUCUACUGGAAUCUCAACUACUAACCAAGCAACUUCUGUACCUGUUCAAAAC